AAGACAUAAUAAUUGAAGGGAUCACAGGAAAAGGUAGGUAUCAGUAUAUCAACUCCAAAGACCCUUCUCCCUGAAUUUACUCUAGUUUUCCUUUUGCACCUCUUCGUUUAUCUGAUCUGGAAAGAAAAGAGGGGAUACUUGUUUUGGUUAGAGAGGGGACUCUUGUUAAGGUGGGGUCUUUGACAGCUAGCAGCACCAACAAGACACUACCACAGGUUGGGCUGAAAAGCUAAAAGGGACUGAUGGAAACGAAAGUUGUGUAGCUGUGAUGGUCUGUAAGCUGAGUACGAAGAAGAAGCCAAUGUCAGAGACAAGUUUUGUUGCGAUUCUUGAGAGAGAUGGGCUUCUCAGAACCAGGGAUGUUGUUUGGAUAUCAGUUUUCUAAGGCUUAUGCAGCUGGCAAGAAUGGGUUUUUGUCCCCAGUCUCCAUGCAACUUUUCCUUACUUAUCUUCACUGAAUAAACCUAAUGCCAAAAACUAUUCCAAUAUCCAAGUGGUAUACGGUAUAUUUUCUUGGUCAAAGAUAAUACCAACAAGCGUUUUAGCUUUUA
Molecule: long non-coding RNA, 551 nt
Organism: Theobroma cacao (cacao)
Lineage: Eukaryota; Viridiplantae; Streptophyta; Magnoliopsida; Malvales; Malvaceae
Source: RefSeq, a predicted model, not a curated record